UACGUAGGGUCCAAGCGUUAUCCGGAAUCACUGGGCGUAAAGCGUGCGUAGGCGGGAGUUUAAGUGCAAUGCGAAAUCUUGUGGCUCAACCAUAUAGACUGUAUUGCAUACUGGACACCUUGAGGACGGCAGAGGCAAGUGGAAUUACUGGUGUAGCAGUGAAAUGCGUAGAUAUCAGUAGGAACACCAAUGGCGAAGGCAGCUUGCUGGGCCGACCCUGACGCUAAGGCACGAAAGCGUGGGGAGCGAACAGG
Molecule: ribosomal RNA, 254 nt
Filed under: uncultured bacterium
Lineage: Bacteria
Description: partial 16S ribosomal RNA
Rfam family: Bacterial small subunit ribosomal RNA
Source: RNAcentral